This 1593-nucleotide long non-coding RNA is filed under the name Brassica napus (rape). RNAcentral describes it as "long non-coding RNA (BNAP_LNC007474)". The record is from RNAcentral. Lineage: Eukaryota; Viridiplantae; Streptophyta; Magnoliopsida; Brassicales; Brassicaceae.
UCCGUUUCGCGCUUUUUCAACGUCUUUUUAAUCACUUAACACAUUUUUUCAAACAUGGUUAUUUAGUUAUUUACUUAUUUUGUCAUCUUUGAAAUAUAAAUAAUCCAAGAACUACAAACGAGGCCCAAAGCUUACACAAGAGAUGCAUAAAGCCCAAAAUAAAAAACAAAAAUCCAUACAAGAGCACACAACAAAAAUCUCAUUAAAAUUCGGUUGCCCAUUGAAACUUGGUUUUCCAUUUGCAUACCACGCAUUAGAUUAGCGUGAGAGGGAAAUCACGUGUCAAUCAUGCCGUAAAAGAGUGACUUUACGACAACCACCAGAACACAUUGGAAACAGGCCGUUGAGAACGGGGAACCGCCAAGACGAUUUUAGACCAUGAAUAACCAAACCAUCGGAGUUGUUACCGCCGGAGCUGUCAAGGGAGCCAUCCAACAAGCUAAACCCAUUAUCCACAGAUCUCUGCUUUUGAUCUCCGCAACUUCAAUUACAGAUAGUUGAUCCAACUAUCGAUUUCCAUGCAAGACGCACAAAGCAACUUUGAAGAUGAGAAGAAGUUUGAAGAUGCGACAAUCCUACCGAGGGGAUGGGGAAUCAACCGAGAGCUGAAAUCAAGGUUGGAGAGAAGGAGAUCGAGAGGCGGAGAUCGAGCCCAAAUAAAAAAAAUCAGGUAGUAGUAGAAAGAUAAAUAAGAGAGAAAGAUUAGGUAUUUAGUUAUUUACUAUUAAAGCGUUUAUUUGUCUUAAAUGUAGUAUUUUUGUAUUUUAAAAAUAUAUUACUAUAGCAAAGGUUCUAUUGCUUGUUUUGCAAAAUAAAUUGAUUUAAACUAUUUAAAAGUUGUUAAAUGAUUUAACAAGUUUGUAUUGAUCUGUAUUUUUCGGGGAACCAUUAGUGAUAUUGAAUCAUUAUGCAAUACCGCCAAGCUGGUCAUAUGAUUGUUCCUAAAUAAGUAUUUGUAAAAAUUUAAAUAAUUUUUAGCAGUUUAGGAUACUAUAUUUAUAUAUAUUAUCUUCUUAAGUUUUAAAAGUCAGAACCAAUAUUUCAUUGGAUUUGAGCAAAAACAUACCUUCCACAUAAAGAAAAGAAAUCUAGAGGAAAAGAAAGAAAAGGAGUGUGACCAUCAUUAUUUAUAAACUACAAGUCACGUAUCAUGAGAAUACAGAAAGCAUGACUUGUAAUACUGAUUAGAAGGCUUCGAUAGAAUUCACUCUUAGAGCAUCUUUAUCGGGGAUCUUAUGGGGGGUUUUUAAUAAAAUUAGGAAUUAAAAAAAAAUGAAAAAAAGGCAAUUAUCAUUGAAGACGUAUCUUAAUUAGGCCACACAAGCAACGUCUCUUGUAUGCCACGUGUAGCUUUGAUAGAGUUUUGGGAGGAGAAUACGAGAAAGGCAAAAUCACUUUGCGAAGAACAAAAUCAUCGACGACGACGAUUAAAUGUAGUAUUUUUGUAUUUUAAAAAUAUAUUACUAUAGCAAAGGUUCUAUUGCUUGUUUUGCAAAAUAAAUUGAUUUAAACUAUUUAAAAGUUGUUAAAUGAUUUAACAAGUUUGUAUUGAUCUGUAUUUUUCGGGGAACCAUUAGUGAUAUUGAAUCAUUA